This 284-nucleotide ribosomal RNA is filed under the name uncultured Lachnospiraceae bacterium. RNAcentral describes it as "partial 16S ribosomal RNA". The stretch from base 46 to 284 matches the Rfam family "Bacterial small subunit ribosomal RNA", at positions 100 to 339 of the family's 1533-position model. Lineage: Bacteria; Bacillati; Bacillota; Clostridia; Lachnospirales; Lachnospiraceae. The record is from RNAcentral.
UACCGACGGAAUCCUUCGGGAGGAAGAUGGUAUGGACUGAGUGGCGGACGGGUGAGUAACGCGUGGGUAACCUGCCUUGUACAGGGGGAUAACAGUUGGAAACGGCUGCUAAUACCGCAUAAGCGCACGGUUCCGCAUGGAACAGUGUGAAAAACUCCGGUGGUGUGAGAUGGACCCGCGUCUGAUUAGCCAGUUGGCGGGGUAACGGCCCACCAAAGCGACGAUCAGUAGCCGGCCUGAGAGGGUGAACGGCCACAUUGGGACUGAGACACGGCCCAGACUCC